GUGGGGAAUAUUGCGCAAUGGGGGGAACCCUGACGCAGCAACGCCGCGUGGAGGAAGAAGGCCUUCGGGUCGUAAACUCCUGUCAUCAGGGACGAUAAUGACGGUACCUGAGGAGGAAGCCACGGCUAACUACGUGCCAGCAGCCGCGGUAAUACGUAGGUGGCGAGCGUUGUCCGGAAUUACUGGGCGUAAAGGGUGCGUAGGCGGAAUCUUAAGUCAGAUGUGAAAACCCAGGGCUUAACUUUGGGAUUGCAUUUGAAACUGAGGUUCUAGAGUGCAGGAGAGGGAAGCGGAAUUCCUAGUGUAGCGGUGAAAUGCGUAGAUAUUAGGAAGAACACCAGUGGCGAAGGCGGCUUUCUGGACUGUAACUGACGCUGAGGCACGAAAGCGUGGGGAGCAAACAGGAUUAGAAACCCUAGUAGUCC
RNAcentral lists this ribosomal RNA (425 nucleotides) under uncultured bacterium. Its description in RNAcentral is "bacterial SSU rRNA". It matches the Rfam family "Bacterial small subunit ribosomal RNA", at positions 354 to 796 of the family's 1533-position model. The record is from RNAcentral.